UUAAGUUAUUAAGGGCGCACGGUGGAUGCCUUGGCACUAGAAGCCGAUGAAGGACGUUACUAACGACGAUAUGCUUUGGGGAGCUGUAAGUAAGCUUUGAUCCAGAGAUUUCCGAAUGGGGAAACCCAGCAUGAGUUAUGUCAUGUUAUCGAUAUGUGAAUACAUAGCAUAUCAGAAGGCACACCCGGAGAACUGAAACAUCUUAGUACCCGGAGGAAGAGAAAGAAAAUUCGAUUCCCUUAGUAGCGGCGAGCGAAACGGGAAGAGCCCAAACCAACAAGCUUGCUUGUUGGGGUUGUAGGACACUCUAUACGGAGUUACAAAGGACGACAUUAGACGAAUCAUCUGGAAAGAUGAAUCAAAGAAGGUAAUAAUCCUGUAGUCGAAAAUGUUGUCUCUCUUGAGUGGAUCCUGAGUACGACGGAGCACGUGAAAUUCCGUCGGAAUCUGGGAGGACCAUCUCCUAAGGCUAAAUACUCUCUAGUGACCGAUAGUGAACCAGUACCGUGAGGGAAAGGUGAAAAGCACCCCGGAAGGGGAGUGAAACAGAACCUGAAACCGUGUGCUUACAAGUAGUCAGAGCCCGUUAAUGGGUGAUGGCGUGCCUUUUGUAGAAUGAACCGGCGAGUUACGAUUUGAUGCAAGGUUAAGCAGUAAAUGUGGAGCCGUAGCGAAAGCGAGUCUGAAUAGGGCGUUUAGUAUUUGGUCGUAGACCCGAAACCAGGUGAUCUACCCUUGGUCAGGUUGAAGUUCAGGUAACACUGAAUGGAGGACCGAACCGACUUACGUUGAAAAGUGAGCGGAUGAACUGAGGGUAGCGGAGAAAUUCCAAUCGAACCUGGAGAUAGCUGGUUCUCUCCGAAAUAGCUUUAGGGCUAGCCUCAAGUGAUGAUUAUUGGAGGUAGAGCACUGUUUGGACGAGGGGCCCCUCUCGGGUUACCGAAUUCAGACAAACUCCGAAUGCCAAUUAAUUUAACUUGGGAGUCAGAACAUGGGUGAUAAGGUCCGUGUUCGAAAGGGAAACAGCCCAGACCACCAGCUAAGGUCCCAAAAUAUAUGUUAAGUGGAAAAGGAUGUGGCGUUGCCCAGACAACUAGGAUGUUGGCUUAGAAGCAGCCAUCAUUUAAAGAGUGCGUAAUAGCUCACUAGUCGAGUGACACUGCGCCGAAAAUGUACCGGGGCUAAACAUAUUACCGAAGCUGUGGAUUGUCCUUUGGACAAUGGUAGGAGAGCGUUCUAAGGGCGUUGAAGCAUGAUCGUAAGGACAUGUGGAGCGCUUAGAAGUGAGAAUGCCGGUGUGAGUAGCGAAAGACGGGUGAGAAUCCCGUCCACCGAUUGACUAAGGUUUCCAGAGGAAGGCUCGUCCGCUCUGGGUUAGUCGGGUCCUAAGCUGAGGCCGACAGGCGUAGGCGAUGGAUAACAGGUUGAUAUUCCUGUACCACCUAUAAUCGUUUUAAUCGAUGGGGGGACGCAGUAGGAUAGGCGAAGCGUGCGAUUGGAUUGCACGUCUAAGCAGUAAGGCUGAGUAUUAGGCAAAUCCGGUACUCAUUAAGGCUGAGCUGUGAUGGGGAGAAGACAUUGUGUCUUCGAGUCGUUGAUUUCACACUGCCGAGAAAAGCCUCUAGAUAGAAAAUAGGUGCCCGUACCGCAAACCGACACAGGUAGUCAAGAUGAGAAUUCUAAGGUGAGCGAGCGAACUCUCGUUAAGGAACUCGGCAAAAUGACCCCGUAACUUCGGGAGAAGGAGUGCUCUUUAGGGUUAACGCCCAGAAGAGCCGCAGUGAAUAGGCCCAAGCGACUGUUUAUCAAAAACACAGGUCUCUGCUAAACCGUAAGGUGAUGUAUAGGGGCUGACGCCUGCCCGGUGCUGGAAGGUUAAGAGGAGUGGUUAGCUUCUGCGAAGCUACGAAUCGAAGCCCCAGUAAACGGCGGCCGUAACUAUAACGGUCCUAAGGUAGCGAAAUUCCUUGUCGGGUAAGUUCCGACCCGCACGAAAGGCGUAACGAUUUGGGCACUGUCUCAACGAGAGACUCGGUGAAAUCAUAGUACCUGUGAAGAUGCAGGUUACCCGCGACAGGACGGAAAGACCCCGUGGAGCUUUACUGUAGCCUGAUAUUGAAAUUCGGCACAGCUUGUACAGGAUAGGUAGGAGCCUUUGAAACGUGAGCGCUAGCUUACGUGGAGGCGCUGGUGGGAUACUACCCUAGCUGUGUUGGCUUUCUAACCCGCACCACUUAUCGUGGUGGGAGACAGUGUCAGGCGGGCAGUUUGACUGGGGCGGUCGCCUCCUAAAAGGUAACGGAGGCGCUCAAAGGUUCCCUCAGAAUGGUUGGAAAUCAUUCAUAGAGUGUAAAGGCAUAAGGGAGCUUGACUGCGAGACCUACAAGUCGAGCAGGGUCGAAAGACGGACUUAGUGAUCCGGUGGUUCCGCAUGGAAGGGCCAUCGCUCAACGGAUAAAAGCUACCCCGGGGAUAACAGGCUUAUCUCCCCCAAGAGUUCACAUCGACGGGGAGGUUUGGCACCUCGAUGUCGGCUCAUCGCAUCCUGGGGCUGUAGUCGGUCCCAAGGGUUGGGCUGUUCGCCCAUUAAAGCGGUACGCGAGCUGGGUUCAGAACGUCGUGAGACAGUUCGGUCCCUAUCCGUCGUGGGCGUAGGAAAUUUGAGAGGAGCUGUCCUUAGUACGAGAGGACCGGGAUGGACAUACCUCUGGUGUACCAGUUGUCGUGCCAACGGCAUAGCUGGGUAGCUAUGUGUGGACGGGAUAAGUGCUGAAAGCAUCUAAGCAUGAAGCCCCCCUCAAGAUGAGAUUUCCCAACUUCGGUUAUAAGAUCCCUCAAAGAUGAUGAGGUUAAUAGGUUCGAGGUGGAAGCAUGGUGACAUGUGGAGCUGACGAAUACUAAUCGAUCGAAGACUUAAUCAA
Molecule: ribosomal RNA, 2921 nt
Filed under: Staphylococcus aureus VET0438R
Lineage: Bacteria; Bacillati; Bacillota; Bacilli; Caryophanales; Staphylococcaceae
Description: bacterial LSU rRNA
Rfam family: Bacterial large subunit ribosomal RNA
Source: RNAcentral